UUCUGGGACAUCUGACAUCUAAUAAAAUUGGAACGAUACAGAGAAGAUUAGCAUGGCCCUUGCGCAAGGAUGACAUGCACAAAUUGAGAAAUGGUCCAAUUUUUU
This is a non-coding RNA of Triticum aestivum (bread wheat), 105 nucleotides long. The record is from Rfam. Lineage: Eukaryota; Viridiplantae; Streptophyta; Magnoliopsida; Poales; Poaceae.